RNAcentral lists this ribosomal RNA (253 nucleotides) under uncultured bacterium. RNAcentral's name for it is "partial 16S ribosomal RNA". It matches the Rfam family "Bacterial small subunit ribosomal RNA", at positions 524 to 776 of the family's 1533-position model. The record is from RNAcentral.
UACGUAGGGGGCGAGCGUUGUCCGGAUUCAUUGGGCGUAAAGCGCGCGCUGGCGGCUUCGUAAGUCGGCCGUGAAAUCUCCGGGCUUAACUCGGAGGGGUCGGGCGAGACUGCGAGGCUCGAGGCGGGUAGAGGGCAGUGGAAUUCCGGGUGUAGUGGUGGAAUGCGUAGAGAUCCGGAGGAACACCAGUGGCGAAGGCGGCUCUCUGGUACGGUACUGACGCUGAGACGCGAAAGCGUGGGGAGCGAACAGG